Long non-coding RNA from Amphiprion ocellaris (clown anemonefish), 1540 nucleotides. NCBI's taxonomy places the organism in Eukaryota, Metazoa, Chordata, Actinopteri, Pomacentridae. The record is from Ensembl.
CGAGAUGUGCAGCGGACGAUUAAAGAGGACAUUGACAUCCAUAGAGGUGAGUCAUACACAUUGAUGGAAGCGAUGGCUGUUUUGUGUCAUCUGUGUCAUGUUUGCACUUUGUUCGGGUUCUUUGCAUGUCUAACUCUUUGCUUUGACACACUCUGUCCUUGAGGUGUUGGCUGUUUAGCAUCUGGGUCACGUUUGGACUUUAUCCUGGUCACUUGUCUGCGUCAUUCAUGGCUUUGACAUAAAUUGAAGACAUGGGACUUUGAUUGUUUGCUGAUGUCGCCAUUUUCUUUGUUUUACAUGCCGAGAGACCGAGAUGUGCAGCGGAUGAUUAAAGAGGACAUUGACAUCCAUAGAGGUGAGUCACACACAUUGAUGGAAGCGAUGGCUGUUUUGUGUCAUCUGUGUCAUGUUUGCACUUUGUUCGGGUUCUUUGCAUGUCUAACUCUUUGCUUUGACACACUCUGUCCUUGAGGUGUUGGCUGUUUUCCAUCUGGGUCACGUUUGGACUUAAUGCUGGUCACUCGUCUGCGUCAUUCAUGGCUUUGACAUAAAUUGAAGACAUGGGACUUUGAUUGUUUGCUGAUGUCGCCAUUUUCUUUGUUUCUUUUACAUGCCGAGAGACCGAGAUGUGCAGUGGACGAUUAAAGAGGACGUUGACAUCCAUAGAGGUGAGUCAUACACAUUUACGGAAGCGAUGGCCGUUUUGUGUCGUCUGUGUCAUGUUUGCACUUUGUUCGGGUUCUUUGCAUGUCUAACUCUUUGCUUUGACACACUCUGUCCUUGAGGUGUUGGCUGUUUUCCAUCUGGGUCACAUUUGGACUUAAUCCUGGUCACUUGUCUGCGUCAUUCAUGGCUUUGACAUAAAUUGAAGACAUGGGACUUUGAUUGUUUGCUGAUGUUGCCUUUUUCUUUGUUUGUUUUACAUGUCGAGAGACGAGAUGUGCAGUGGACGAUUAAAGAGGACAUUGACAUCCAUAGAGGUGAGUCAUACACAUUGACAGAAGCGAUGGUUGUUUUGUGUUGUCUGUCAUGUUUGCACUUUGUUCGGGUUCUUUGCAUGUCUAACUCUUUGCUUUGACACACUCUGUCCUUGAGGUGUUGGCUGUUUAGCAUCUGGGUCACGUUUGGACUUUAUCCUGGUCACUUGUCUGUGUCAUUCAUGGCUUUGACAUAAAUUGAAGACAUGGGACUUUGAUUGUUUGCUGAUGUCGCCAUUUUCUCUGUUUCUUUUACAUGCCGAGAGACGAGAUCUGCAGUGGACGAUUAAAGACGACGUUGACAUCCAUAGAGGUGAGUUUGUUCUUUUCUCACACUUUGCUAUUUUUCUACUUUCCUCUUUUCUCACACUUUGCUAUUUUCACACUUUGUUCUUUUUCCUCUUUUCUCACACUUUGCUAUUUUCACACUUUGUUCUUUUUCCUCUUUCCUCACACUUUGUUCUUUUUCCUCUUUCCUCACACUUUGCUAUUUUCACACUUUGUUUUUUUUCCAUACUUUGUUCUUUUUCCUCUUUUUUCACACUUUGCUAUUUUCACACUUU